UACGUAGGGUGCGAGCGUUGUCCGGAAUUACUGGGCGUAAAGGGCUCGUAGGCGGCCAACUAAGUCCGGCGUGAAAUCCCCAGGCUUAACCUGGGAACUGCGUCGGAUACUGGAUGGCUUGAAUUCGGGAGAGGGAUGCAGAAUUCCAGGUGUAGCGGUGAAAUGCGUAGAUAUCUGGAGGAAUACCGGUGGCGAAGGCGGCAUCCUGGACCGACAUUGACGCUGAUGAGCGAAAGCUAGGGGAGCAAACGGG
RNAcentral lists this ribosomal RNA (253 nucleotides) under uncultured bacterium. RNAcentral describes it as "partial 16S ribosomal RNA". It matches the Rfam family "Bacterial small subunit ribosomal RNA", at positions 524 to 776 of the family's 1533-position model. The record is from RNAcentral.